RNAcentral lists this unclassified non-coding RNA (211 nucleotides) under Hevea brasiliensis (rubber tree). Lineage: Eukaryota; Viridiplantae; Streptophyta; Magnoliopsida; Malpighiales; Euphorbiaceae. The record is from RNAcentral.
GGUGGAGUAUAAUUUUUUAUUUUAUAAGUGUGGGUUGUAUAUAGUAAUUUUUUUUUAAAGAGUAUAGUAUGGAAAAUGGGGGAAAAGUGUAAUUUUAAAAUGGGGGAAUUUGAUAAAUAUUAUUUUAUUUAGGUAAUUAAGGUUAGUAUUAAUAGUGAUAAGUUAUGUUGAUAGUAUGUGUUUUUGAUAUGAUGUGAUGAGAAUGGUAAUU